This 2199-nucleotide ribosomal RNA is filed under the name Escherichia coli. Its description in RNAcentral is "partial 23S ribosomal RNA". It matches the Rfam family "Bacterial large subunit ribosomal RNA", at positions 614 to 2798 of the family's 2925-position model. The record is from RNAcentral. Lineage: Bacteria; Pseudomonadati; Pseudomonadota; Gammaproteobacteria; Enterobacterales; Enterobacteriaceae.
AAUGGGUCAGCGACUUAUAUUCUGUAGCAAGGUUAACCGAAUAGGGGAGCCGAAGGGAAACCGAGUCUUAACUGGGCGUUAAGUUGCAGGGUAUAGACCCGAAACCCGGUGAUCUAGCCAUGGGCAGGUUGAAGGUUGGGUAACACUAACUGGAGGACCGAACCGACUAAUGUUGAAAAAUUAGCGGAUGACUUGUGGCUGGGGGUGAAAGGCCAAUCAAACCGGGAGAUAGCUGGUUCUCCCCGAAAGCUAUUUAGGUAGCGCCUCGUGAAUUCAUCUCCGGGGGUAGAGCACUGUUUCGGCAAGGGGGUCAUCCCGACUUACCAACCCGAUGCAAACUGCGAAUACCGGAGAAUGUUAUCACGGGAGACACACGGCGGGUGCUAACGUCCGUCGUGAAGAGGGAAACAACCCAGACCGCCAGCUAAGGUCCCAAAGUCAUGGUUAAGUGGGAAACGAUGUGGGAAGGCCCAGACAGCCAGGAUGUUGGCUUAGAAGCAGCCAUCAUUUAAAGAAAGCGUAAUAGCUCACUGGUCGAGUCGGCCUGCGCGGAAGAUGUAACGGGGCUAAACCAUGCACCGAAGCUGCGGCAGCGACGCUGAUGCGUUGUUGGGUAGGGGAGCGUUCUGUAAGCCUGUGAAGGUGUGCUGUGAGGCAUGCUGGAGGUAUCAGAAGUGCGAAUGCUGACAUAAGUAACGAUAAAGCGGGUGAAAAGCCCGCUCGCCGGAAGACCAAGGGUUCCUGUCCAACGUUAAUCGGGGCAGGGUGAGUCGACCCCUAAGGCGAGGCCGAAAGGCGUAGUCGAUGGGAAACAGGUUAAUAUUCCUGUACUUGGUGUUACUGCGAAGGGGGGACGGAGAAGGCUAUGUUGGCCGGGCGACGGUUGUCCCGGUUUAAGCGUGUAGGCUGGUUUUCCAGGCAAAUCCGGAAAAUCAAGGCUGAGGCGUGAUGACGAGGCACUACGGUGCUGAAGCAACAAAUGCCCUGCUUCCAGGAAAAGCCUCUAAGCAUCAGGUAACAUCAAAUCGUACCCCAAACCGACACAGGUGGUCAGGUAGAGAAUACCAAGGCGCUUGAGAGAACUCGGGUGAAGGAACUAGGCAAAAUGGUGCCGUAACUUCGGGAGAAGGCACGCUGAUAUGUAGGUGAAGUCCCUCGCGGAUGGAGCUGAAAUCAGUCGAAGAUACCAGCUGGCUGCAACUGUUUAUUAAAAACACAGCACUGUGCAAACACGAAAGUGGACGUAUACGGUGUGACGCCUGCCCGGUGCCGGAAGGUUAAUUGAUGGGGUCAGCGCAAGCGAAGCUCUUGAUCGAAGCCCCGGUAAACGGCGGCCGUAACUAUAACGGUCCUAAGGUAGCGAAAUUCCUUGUCGGGUAAGUUCCGACCUGCACGAAUGGCGUAAUGAUGGCCAGGCUGUCUCCACCCGAGACUCAGUGAAAUUGAACUCGCUGUGAAGAUGCAGUGUACCCGCGGCAAGACGGAAAGACCCCGUGAACCUUUACUAUAGCUUGACACUGAACAUUGAGCCUUGAUGUGUAGGAUAGGUGGGAGGCUUAGAAGUGUGGACGCCAGUCUGCAUGGAGCCGACCUUGAAAUACCACCCUUUAAUGUUUGAUGUUCUAACGUGGACCCGUGAUCCGGGUUGCGGACAGUGUCUGGUGGGUAGUUUGACUGGGGCGGUCUCCUCCUAAAGAGUAACGGAGGAGCACGAAGGUUGGCUAAUCCUGGUCGGACAUCAGGAGGUUAGUGCAAUGGCAUAAGCCAGCUUGACUGCGAGCGUGACGGCGCGAGCAGGUGCGAAAGCAGGUCAUAGUGAUCCGGUGGUUCUGAAUGGAAGGGCCAUCGCUCAACGGAUAAAAGGUACUCCGGGGAUAACAGGCUGAUACCGCCCAAGAGUUCAUAUCGACGGCGGUGUUUGGCACCUCGAUGUCGGCUCAUCACAUCCUGGGGCUGAAGUAGGUCCCAAGGGUAUGGCUGUUCGCCAUUUAAAGUGGUACGCGAGCUGGGUUUAGAACGUCGUGAGACAGUUCGGUCCCUAUCUGCCGUGGGCGCUGGAGAACUGAGGGGGGCUGCUCCUAGUACGAGAGGACCGGAGUGGACGCAUCACUGGUGUUCGGGUUGUCAUGCCAAUGGCACUGCCCGGUAGCUAAAUGCGGAAGAGAUAAGUGCUGAAAGCAUCUAAGCACGAAACUUGCC